GGUUCAGUUAUCGGGUUAACCGUUAACAUUGAACAUAUAUACUUUAAAGUCCAAAGCUACUGUGGACUGCCUACUGCUUAGUGCUCAAAACUGUCCAGCACAAAUAGAACACAAAUUACAAAACAUUCAAACUAAUGUCACAAAUUUAAAAUUGUCUACUGGUUUGGUCUAGCACAAAUAGAAUAGGAAAAAUCCAAAGACCAAAACAAGUACUGGAAGC
RNAcentral lists this long non-coding RNA (220 nucleotides) under Capsicum annuum. RNAcentral describes it as "long non-coding RNA (CANN_LNC005508)". Lineage: Eukaryota; Viridiplantae; Streptophyta; Magnoliopsida; Solanales; Solanaceae. The record is from RNAcentral.